UUCGCAAUGCCCGAAAGGGUGACGAAGCGACGCCGCGUGGGUGAGGAAGGCCCUCGGGUUGUAAAGCCCUGUCAGGAGUUAAGAAAUGUAAGUGCGCUAAUAUCGCAUUUAUUUGACGAAGGCUCCAAAGGAAGCCACGGCUAACUCUGUGCCAGCAGCCGCGGUAAUACAGAGGUGGCAAGCGUUGCUCGGAAUUAUUGGGCGUAAAGAGCACGUAGGUGGGUUUGUAAGUCAGAUGUGAAAGCCUUCUGUUCAACGGAAGAAUUGCAUCUGAAACUACAAGUCUUGAGUGUAGGAGGGGAGAAUGGAACUUCUGGUGGAGCGGUGAAAUGCGUAGAUAUCAGAAGGAACGCCGGCGGCGAAAGCGAUUCUCUGGCCUAUUACUGACACUCAGUGUGCGAAAGCUAGGGGAGCAAACGGGAUUAGAUACCCCGGUAGUCCUAGCCGUAAACGAUGGGCACUAAGUAGAGGGGUUUU
Molecule: ribosomal RNA, 477 nt
Filed under: Candidatus Scalindua brodae
Lineage: Bacteria; Pseudomonadati; Planctomycetota; Candidatus Brocadiia; Candidatus Brocadiales; Candidatus Scalinduaceae
Description: bacterial SSU rRNA
Rfam family: Bacterial small subunit ribosomal RNA
Source: RNAcentral